UACGUAGGCAGCAAGCGUUGUUCGGAAUUAUUGGGCGUAAAGGGCGCGUAGGCGGCGCGGUAUGUCACCUGUGAAAUCUCCUGGCUCAACUGGGAGCUUGCAGGCGAAACUGCCGCGCUGGAGUGUGGGAGAGGUGCGUGGAAUUCCUGGUGUAGCGGUGAAAUGCGUAGAUAUCAGGAGGAACACCUGUGGCGAAAGCGGCGCACUGGACCACAACUGACGCUGAGGCGCGAAAGCUAGGGGAGCAAACAGG
This 253-nucleotide ribosomal RNA is filed under the name uncultured bacterium. RNAcentral describes it as "partial 16S ribosomal RNA". It matches the Rfam family "Bacterial small subunit ribosomal RNA", at positions 524 to 776 of the family's 1533-position model. The record is from RNAcentral.